AAACACCUUAUUUGAUUUUCUUCGGAACUGAAGAUUUGGUGAUUGAGUGGCGGACGGGUGAGUAACGCGUGGGUAACCUGCCCUGUACAGGGGGAUAACAGUCAGAAAUGACUGCUAAUACCGCAUAAGACCACAGCACCGCAUGGUGCAGGGGUAAAAACUCCGGUGGUACAGGAUGGACCCGCGUCUGAUUAGCUGGUUGGUGAGGUAACGGCUCACCAAGGCGACGAUCAGUAGCCGGCUUGAGAGAGUGAACGGCCACAUUGGGACUGAGACACGGCCCAAACUCCUACGGGAGGCAGCAGUGGGGAAUAUUGCACAAUGGGGGAAACCCUGAUGCAGCGACGCCGCGUGAGUGAAGAAGUAUCUCGGUAUGUAAAGCUCUAUCAGCAGGGAAGAAAAUGACGGUACCUGACUAAGAAGCCCCGGCUAACUACGUGCCAGCAGCCGCGGUAAUACGUAGGGGGCAAGCGUUAUCCGGAAUUACUGGGUGUAAAGGGUGCGUAGGUGGUAUGGCAAGUCGGAAGUGAAAACCCAGGGCUUAACUCUGGGACUGCUUUUGAAACUGUCAGACUAGAGUGCAGGAGAGGUAAGCGGAAUUCCUAGUGUAGCGGUGAAAUGCGUAGAUAUUAGGAGGAACAUCAGUGGCGAAGGCGGCUUACUGGACUGCAACUGACACUGAGGCACGAAAGCGUGGGGAGCAAACAGG
RNAcentral lists this ribosomal RNA (709 nucleotides) under uncultured Lachnospiraceae bacterium. Its description in RNAcentral is "bacterial SSU rRNA". It matches the Rfam family "Bacterial small subunit ribosomal RNA", at positions 49 to 776 of the family's 1533-position model. The record is from RNAcentral. Lineage: Bacteria; Bacillati; Bacillota; Clostridia; Lachnospirales; Lachnospiraceae.